Molecule: unclassified non-coding RNA, 330 nt
Filed under: soil metagenome
Description: partial contains 5.8S ribosomal RNA, internal transcribed spacer 2, and large subunit ribosomal RNA
Rfam family: 5.8S ribosomal RNA (bases 1-120)
Source: RNAcentral
GAUGAAGAACGUAGCGAAAUGCGAUAAGUAGUGUGAAUUGCAGACUUUAGUGAAUCAUCGAAUCUUUGAACGCACAUUGCGCCCCUUGGUAUUCCAUUGGGCAUGCCUGUUCGAGCGUCAUUUACACCCUCAAGCUCACGCUUGGUGUUGGGCCCCGCCGCCCCGGCGGGCCCUAAAGUCAGUGGCGGUGCCGUCCGGCUCCGAGCGUAGUAAUUCUUCUCGCUCUGGAGGUCCGGUCGUGUGCUCGCCAGCAACCCCCAAUUUUUUUCAGGUUGACCUCGGAUCAGGUAGGGAUACCCGCUGAACUUAAGCAUAUCAAUAAGCGGAGGA